This 269-nucleotide ribosomal RNA is filed under the name uncultured prokaryote. RNAcentral describes it as "partial 16S ribosomal RNA". It matches the Rfam family "Bacterial small subunit ribosomal RNA", at positions 524 to 792 of the family's 1533-position model. The record is from RNAcentral.
UACGUAGGUGGCGAGCGUUGUCCGGAUUUACUGGGCGUAAAGGGAGCGUAGGCGGACUUUUAAGUGAGAUGUGAAAUACCCGGGCUCAACUUGGGUGCUGCAUUUCAAACUGGAAGUCUAGAGUGCAGGAGAGGAGAAUGGAAUUCCUAGUGUAGCGGUGAAAUGCGUAGAGAUUAGGAAGAACACCAGUGGCGAAGGCGAUUCUCUGGACUUAUACUGACGCUGAGGAACGAAAGCGUGGGGAGCAAACAGGAUUAGAUACCCUGGUA